UCAUCGUUGCUUUGCACAGUGAUCUGAAAAAAAAAACAUUUGCAAUGUAAAUUUCACUCUUUUUUUAUCUUAUUUUGUUACUCACUGGUAUCUUUCCUGGUACAGACGAUGAAAAUGGAGCAAACAUAAGAGUGCAAUUGGUGUAAAGUGUAAACAGCAAUGUUAAUUACUAGGAGUGAUAUUAGCAGAGGUAAAAUUUGCCAGUAAUUUGGUACUGAAAAUGUACUCUCCAAAGUCAAAACUUGUAAUCUCCACACAAAAACUUUCUGCAUUACACUUGGUUGUUUCACCUGCUUGUGUGAUGGUGUAAUAGAUUAUUAGUAGUUAAUGAUAGUGAUAAUGCAGAUUUCUCAGUU
Molecule: small RNA, 356 nt
Filed under: Oryza sativa Japonica Group (Japanese rice)
Lineage: Eukaryota; Viridiplantae; Streptophyta; Magnoliopsida; Poales; Poaceae
Description: sRNA Os09g0371650
Source: RNAcentral